This 24724-nucleotide long non-coding RNA is filed under the name Populus tremula. RNAcentral's name for it is "long non-coding RNA (PTRE_LNC000679)". Lineage: Eukaryota; Viridiplantae; Streptophyta; Magnoliopsida; Malpighiales; Salicaceae. The record is from RNAcentral.
CCAUGUUCAUAUUCAUCACAAUCUUCUCACCAAUACAAUCAACAAACCAAACUCAUCAUCUUGAAUCCAAUAGAAUGAUUUAUAGAAGCUAAACCACACAUCAAGAAAAUCUGAUAAAACUACAAAAAAUAAAAAAUUGAAUAAAACAAACGUCAUGAAUUAUAUUACCUUAUAAGCCUCCUCCUUUUUCUUGCUCCUCUUCUUCUUUCGACCACAGCUUCAAAAAGCACCCGAAGAAUCCAACUUCCUCAGUCAACUACUAACAAGUCUCCAUCAAUCAAUACAAGUAGAUGCAAGAGCAUAUAGCUUCCUUCAGAAAGACAACAAAACAUUCAAAUCAACACAUGGGCAAGGGCCAGCCUCUAAGUUGACUUAAGGAAACUCUCCAAGAAAAACAGACGGCAGCAGACGAACUUGAUUCGAGGCCUUCAAGAAAAGCCCAAAAACCAUAAAUAUUGCUUCUUCCAAAGCAAUAAUCAAGAGCAUUAAUUGUCAGGCCAAGAGAACAAAAACCCAAGCUUCUUAUAUGGCAACAAAACACAGCAAUUGUUUUUCUUAUUUAUACUAAAUUUAAGCACCACCAGCCCACCAACCAGCAUUUUCUAUGUACUGCAAAGAAGUACAAGGCAAGGCUGCGUUGUAGUACAACACUCAUCAGAACUCCAACGAUGGCUGCUAUACAUUUGAACAGAUGUCAGGUUCAUAAAUUUGAUCCUCGUCUCGUUGACUUAUUACCACCACUUUUCACGCUCUCUUCAUCCUUGUAGUACAGAUAUAGAGAGAAGAAAAGUGGGUAAACUUUUCUGAACAGUAGCUUUGCCACUAUUUUUAUGCUAGAACUGGUAAACUUCCAAAGGGUAUCAACUCUUUUUUUGUAACUCUGAUUCCGAAAUCAAAGGAGCCGAGCAGAUUCUCCCAUUUUCGUCCGAUAAGCCUGAUUCACGGGCUAUACAAAAUAGUGGCAAAGCUACUGUCCACUAGGCUUCGUCAUGUCAUGACAGAUGUGAUCAGUGUUAACCAGUCUGCAUUUAUUGCUGGGCGUCAGAUUCUAGACGGGUUCAUGAUAGCAAAUGAGGUUGUCCAUGGUGUGCGCAGCAAGAAGAAGCAUGGCCUCUUAUUGAAGGUAGAUUUCCAUAAAGCCUUUGACUCAAUUUUAUGGGAACAUAUUGACACAAGUAUGGGAUACAUGGGUUUUGGCUCACACUGGAGGAAGCUGAUAUUCGAAUGCUUAUCCACUUCAAAAUUAGUCAUCUUGAUAAACGGUUCUCCUAGUAGAGAAUUUAGUUUGGAGAGGGGUCUCAGGCAAGGGGACCCACUCUCUCCAUUCCUAUUUGACAUUGCAGUUGAGGGAUUGACAGUUUUAUUCAAUAGGGCAUCAGCUUCAGGUUACUUCAAAGGCUUACAGACUACCCCAGGUCAUUACUUAACUCAUUUGCAAUAUGCCGAUGACUCUCUGAUUUUCUUGCCAAAUGAUUUUCCCUCUCUUCUACAUGCCAAGAGGAUUCUACGUUGGUUUGAGAUCAUUUCGGACUGAAAGUUAACUUCUAUAAAAGCUCACUAAUAGGUAUCAACUUGGACAACGACUACACCUCUAGCCUGGCGAACUCAGUUUUCUGUCGUAGUGAUACUUUCCCGGUUAGGUACCUUGGACUACCUCUUGGAGCCAAUCCCAGCAGACUCUCUACUUGGAAACCAGUGUUGUCCACUAUCAGAGCAAAGCUACUCACAUGGAAAGGGAAUUUUUUGAGCAUGGCGGGAAGGUUAUGUCUAAUUAAAUCAGUCUUGAGCUCUCUUCCUCUGUUUUACAUGUCAGUUUUUGCUAUGCCAAAGGGUGUUACUAAAGCCAUCUCUUCUCUAACCCGGUCUUUCCUUUGGAAAGGAAGCUCAACUUCUCAUGGCCUUUUUAAGGUGGCUUGGCACAAGGUAAUAAAGGAUAAAUCUUCUGGUGGUCUCGGGCUGGGAUCCAUCCACAACAAAAAUCUGGCUUUGCUCUUUAAAUGGCUAUGGAAUCUAGACAAUGGAGUGGCAGGAGGCUGGCAAGAACACAUUCUUCUAAAAUACCGACCUCACUUUAUAAAUGGUAUCCCUGAGUUUGCAGGUUCUUUAUCUCCAACUUGGCAUGGCAUUGUUUCGGCAAUCUUCUCAACACAAAACAUAGCCAAUCUUUUACAUGCAAAUGUCGGGUUCAAGGUGGGUGACGGGAGGAACAUCCGGUUUUGGACUGACUCUUGGCUCGGCUCUGCAACCAUCUCCAGCUCUUAUUCCCCAGACUUUAUAACCUCUCCUUGCAGCAAAACACCAGCCUUGCAGAUAUAUACAAUUUGACAGAUGCAUCUUUAAACCUUCCUGGAGAAGAACCCUUCGGCCUCGUGAGAUCUGCCAAGGGAGAGCUUGAUCGCAGAGGUGCAGCGUGGUCUCCUUUUCUCAGAUGGUGCAGACUGCAAGUUAUGGAAAUUCCACAGCUCUGGCAUGUACUCAGCUCAAUCAGGUCGCCUCUUCUUUGAUAGUCUAUCGGCCACUGAAAAUAAUCACUCCCUACUCUGCUAUGGAAUGGUUAUGCCCCCCCAAAAGUGGAUGUGUUCAUUUGGCUUCUUCUUCAUGGAGGUUUGAGUACAAGAAGUUUUUUAGCUGAGAGGAGAAUCAUAAAUUAUGAGGAAUCUCACUGCCCAUUCUGCUGCAAGGAAACCGAGAUAAUUAAUCAUCUUUUCCAUUGGUGUCCUAUAACAUGGUCUCUUUGGGGUCGUUUCUUGAAAUGGUUCGGGUGCUCAGGUUGUCUGCACAAAGACCCAAAUCAAAAUCUACAGGAAUGGUCCGGAUUGAUUAAUGGAAAAUUUCAGCGACGUGCUAUUACCCUCCUCUGUAAAGGUCUGUAUUGGUCAAUUUGGAUAGCGCGCAACCGCCUAAUCUUCGAAUCCAAGGCUCCUGAUUGGGAUAUGAUUUUUGAUCUCACUUUUCACCGUUUGGCUUUCUGGUUGAAGUCCUCAGUUACAAAUUUCAGCUAUACAGGCUCAGAUCUUUUUAGAAAUCCUGAAUGUAUUAUGAACUGGACUAACUAAUUAAGUCCCUCAUCACUUUGGUCUUUUCUUUCUUCAUAUUUCCAUUGUAUUCUAUCUUUCGUUCAGCCCCACUUACUUGAUGGGGCUGCUUAUUUAAUAUAUAAUUAUCUCGUUUACUAUCAAAAAAAAAAAAAAAAAUGUGGGCAAUCGUAAGCAUAAAAUUGCUUAAAGUGAAAAGCAAGAAAUGGAACUGCUAACUGGGAACUGGCGACUUCACUUGAAAGCAAGCUUGUCAAUUCUAUUCUGGUAAGUGUUUUGUUUUUUUAAUUAAAAUAGAAUAUUUUAGUUUUGAAACGUUUGAGCGUACCGUUUCGGGGUUGUACUGUUCAUAUAUAUAUAUACUGUUCAUAUAUAUAUAUAUAUAUAUAUAUAUAUAUAUAUAUAUAUAUAUAUAUUCAUCAAACAUAAUUCAAAUUUAAGAUAAAUUAAUUAUAAAUUAUGCAAUACAAACACAAUACUAAACAAAUAUAAUUUCAAAAUUUAAAAUAUUUUUAAAUAGUAAAGAUUAAAUAGAUAUUUAACUUAAAGUACUUCAACUUAAAUAAAAUAUCAAAAUAUUAUGAAAGUAAAAUGUUUUAACAAAAAUAUUUUAAAUAUAAAGUUAGGUCAAUGUUAUCAAGUGGCUAAUAGAAUCUGAAGCAUCCCUUGUUUUACUUAAAUUCCUACAAGGUCUAAACAUGAAAAAAAAUAACAUGAAUAUAAAUCAUAUAUAUUAGUGAUAAAUCUAAUUUUAAAAAAUUAAUAUUAUUGUUAAUGAAAAUAGUAAUAAUAAUUUUCAACAUUAUUAUUAAUAUCAUUGCUAUUGAAAAUAGUAAUGAAAAAGAGCUUUUUAUAAUCGGGUGGUUUAAUUAAUGAAAUUGAGUAAAGUUCAAUUUGAUUCAAUGGCUUUUCAAGAGCGGAACGGAACAUGUGGAAUGAAAUUGGAACGUUUCGGGCGGAAUUUAACCGAAAAAUCCGGAACGGACCGAGAUUUAAAAUAAGAUGAAAUUUGUUCCGUUUUGUUCCGUUUUUUGAAUUGGUAUGGAAUGUUUCAGCCAUUUCAAACGGAACAGAACGGAAUUGACAACCUUGCUUGAAAGUGCCUUCCCUUUACAGUCAAAACAUGUGUAUGGCAAGUUAAAAGUGGAUCUUGAUCCCUCUACUCUUAUUUCCCUUAAUUUAUCACCUUCUAUCUUGAUAUCACUCUCUUUAUUAUAUUCUUUAUUUUAGUCAACUGUAGCCUAGCCGUGAGACACCUCAAUCCCAACCUAACUUGUUUGGAUUAGAACCCAAAGACUGCUUCGUUAAAGAUUGAUAUUUAUUUAAUCAACUAUUGUACUAUACUAGGCAAUGACGUCGUUUAAUACUAAAAAAGUAAACAUUUUCAAUAGGAUGUUCUCUUAUCCCACGCAUAAGAAAAAAAAAAAUGUCACGAGAGAUUAAUUGUUAAGGGGUUAUAUUGAAGAAAAAAUAGUAUGAGGAUCAAAUUAACAUAGAGUGUAUAGUGGAAGGAUAAAAAAGACAACAUUAGCAAGGCGUGUGGCCAAAACAUGUCAAAGUCAGUUAAGAAGAGGAAAAAGGCCAAUUUUGAGGCCAAUAAUAUAGAAAUCUAAAAAAAAAACGAUAGAUGAUUGAUGUAAGAAAGAGAUAUGAUACGGAUGGUGGGGUGGGCCUCCGAAAUGGUGGGGAUGGUAUUCAUUGAAUGCCGAUUUUAUCAACCUUUAGAUGGGAUAACUGUUUCUGACCAUUAAUUUCUAGUUUAUAAAAUGAUGUGAUAAGAAUAGUUAUGUUAAAAAAAAUUGUGUUUUGAAUUUUAAAAAAAAAUAAGUUUUUUAUGUUUUAAUAUAAAAAUAAAUUUUGAAAACUAAAAAAAUAUAUAAAAUAACUAUUAACAUAAUAAUAGACUGGCAAUGACAUAGUUUUUUAAAUAUGAUUCUUUUUAUGCUACUUGAAAUUUAUGCAUGUUCUCUAUUUUAAAAAAUAAAAAUAUUAUUUAAAUAUAUUUUUAAAAAUAAUUAUUAUUAUAAUAUCAAACAUGUAUUGAUAUUGAUCUUGCUAAAUUUAAGAUAAUAUUGUUUCAAGAUUGUUUUUAUAGAAAAAAGUUAAAAUGUUAUCAAUUUAACCGGAUUGAGUUUAAUAUCUAUAAGAAAUUAUUUUUAGUAAAUUAGAGUAGGUCAUAAAAAUUUAGUCUAUUGGUAGAUGGAAUAAACUACACAUGAAUUUAUAAUAUGAUUGAUUUACUUCAUGUAAUUUAAAUUAAAGAAAAAAAACAUACAAUUCCUCUGCCUCAAAAUAAAUGAAAACAAAAAUACAAACGAAUUAUUGAAUUUUCAAGUGAUUUUAUUGUUCCUAUUUUGAAACUUGAAAUGUAAUAAUUCCUCAUCUAAUUUUUUAAUCGGGUGCAAUAAUUUAUUAUUUAUCACUUAGUUUACAAAAUAAAAUAAAACAUUUAUUUCAAAGCGUUGAUUUAGUAAUUAAUCCAAUUGUUUUCUACUGUGAUCACUUUGAUUCUGGGAUUGAGAGUGAUAAAUUAUCAUCGAAUUAAUUUUGAAAAUUAUCAUCGAAUUUAUCUAAAAAGGGAAUUACUUAGCGUGAGUAUCUCUCUUAUCAAGAUUGAUAGUUACGUGCAUUAGGGGAACCCUUUCGUCAUAGCACAAUCGUUCUUUUGCACCAAAAAGUCAUCAAAAAAUUAUUCCAAAACAAACACCACAGACACCAACCCACCCUCCAAGAAGCAAACAAUUUUGCUGAAAGGAAUAUGCAAUAAAUAUCUCCGUUUAAAUCACCUUAAUUCAGUGGAAAAUUAUGUGCGCCUUAUUUGUACAUUAAGCUAUGUGCAUGCAUCAAAGUGUGGUUUGAUUUGAUUAACUGCUUGACAUAAAUAAAAUGAAAAGAGUUCUUUGGCAUUUUUUAGAUGAAAAAAAAAUUACAAUGUUAUGAUAUUUGUUUUUCUCUGACCCAAGUUUUGUGGAUAUGAAGCAGUGAAGAUGUUGAAGUUACAUCUAGACUGCAAAAUUCAACUCCUUGGUUAUUAAAACUUAAAACUUGGUAAAAAAAUCUAGAUUACGAGUUAAGCUCUAUUAAUUAAAAUAAUAUUAUUUUAUUUUUUAAAAAUUAAAUUAAAUUUUAACUAAAUCAACUAAAUCAUGAACUAAUCAGUUUAAUAGUUUAUUACCAAUAAAUUAUGCCAUUUUACAUUUACUUAUUUUUUUGGGAGUAAGAACUCAAUUUUGAAAGGGACGGUGAGUUUCAGUUUUGAACUUUAUUUUUACCUUUUAUUGGAACUCAAUAUUGAAAGGGACGGUUAGUUAUAGUUUUAAUUCUAGGUGGGCUCGAUUGGAUGAGUUAUAGCAAGGUUGUCAAAAACAUUUUUUUGACACGACACGGAACAUACAAUAUAAACUCGACUCGUAAACUCGAAUCGUAAAAUCGUAAAAUCAAAAGUAAAAUUUUUUAACUAAAAAUCGUAAAAUCGCAAGUAAAAUAUUUUAACUAAAAUCGUAAAAUCGCAAAAUAAACAUAUUGCCACUUGUAGUUUUUUUAGAAGCCAUGUAUCCUACAAUUCAAGAAUCAUUUGUAUAAGCCAACACAAAGAACAUAAUAUUUAGCAUGCAGUUAAGGCCUGGAAUUGAUGAGAUGAUUCUGUUCCCUGCAGCGAAAGUCUUAGCCUAAGGGGCAUUAAUCAAUAGAGAUCUGUGUAUAGGCAGCUCACUCUCAAUUCUCAAAGCAUACGUGGGUAAAAUACCUUUGCAAAAUAUAGCUACGCAAGAGUUCAAAACAACAACAAUCAAACUUAAUUUUAUCAUCAAAUUCAAAACAACUUAGUUAACUAACCGGGACCAUCUAUAAAACCGAAAAAAAUACACACUUCACUCACAGAUUCACAGAUUCACAGAUUGCAGAAUUACAUAAUCUGCAACACCGCAAGCAAGAUCAAACUGAAAAAAAUUCACACUUCACACUUCACAGCAUGCCCAUUGCCCAGAUCAAACCGAAAAAAAUUCCCCGGACAGAAGCAAACCACUUAAUUGUAGAAUACCCAGAAGGGCCAGAACAUAAACAUGGAUUCACAAUUUCACAGCAUACCCAAAUCACAGCAUACCCACCAUUAGACAGAAAAUAACAAAGCUUGGGAUGGGAUUGAGAAUCAAUGCUUACCUUCGUCUCGCCAAGAACAGAGAGGGGACGAUUGGCGAAGUCUGGGUCCUCUGGGACUCUAGACUCUGGAGUCAAGGAGGGUAUGAGUCUGUGAGACAAGGAGUCAGGUUUAUCGAAGAUCCAACUACACUCUCCUUAGCCAGCAGGUAGAAGAGCAACAGCAAGCAGCGGCAGCAUACUACGAGUCGUCUCUCUCAGGUGACUCAAAAAACAACAAACUAACAAUAAAGCAAGAGAGAAGCUUCGUGGAUUGGGAGUCGGAUCAUAGAUCAAUAGCAAAUCAACAGCAAGGAAACAGUAAUCGAAUUGGUUUGUAUCCAUCCUCUGCAGCGAUCGGGUUACAAAGGCAAUCGAGCGGGAGUAGUUUCGGAGAGAGUUCGUUAUCGGGAGAGUAAUCGAAUUGGUUUGUUUCAUUGCUAAAUGCUAAUUUCCAUUUAGUUCCCGUGACUGUGAGCCCAUGCGUGACAUUUCAUUUAACUCGUGAAAACGUAACGGUUUUAACGUUUUUUGCGAGUUGAUCCGAUUUUUUGCGAGUUUGACUCGGUUUUAUGCGAUUUUAAUGGUUUUCGAGUUUUGCUUCCGUUUCUACACGUUUUGCUGGUUUUAACUCGUAAAAUCGUACGAUUUUACGAGUUAAAACGCAUUUUUAACAACCAUGAGUUAUAGUUUUAAUUCUAGGUGGGCUCGAUUGGAUUUCUUUGUUAAAAAAAACAAUAACAUGAUCAAUAUCUUCAAAUCAACAUUAGUGAUGUUGAUAUAAUUAACAUUUUUUGUACAAUAGGAUGUUUUGAUAAGCUUUUGAUUGCACUAAAAAAAUUACAUCCAUGUUCAGAGUACUGAUAUAUUUUUUAAGAAAUUAAUUAUUUUGUCCAGAGGAUUCGAGCAUUAAAAUAUAAAAAUAUGGAAGAUACUUAAUAUUUACCAACAAAACUAAGCCUGUGAGAGUUCACUUCAUACGAAUAGAUAUCUAUGUUGACAAAUUAUUUGCCACUUGAAGUUGAAGAUCAUGGCGUUUAAAAUGAAAUUAACGCAUUAUAAGCUAAUUAUAGCUAAUUAUGUGGAUUCCAACUCAUAAUUAGUUUCAUGUUAGGAGCGUGAUUCCAUGUUUUACUUAAGAAACAUUGAUUUGCACUUAUAUGCCACUUGAAGCUGAAGGCCUUUGCAUUUAAAAUUAGGUUAAUGCAUGUGGUGAGUAAGCUAUUAAUUUAUUGUGGUUUCCAACUUCAAAAUUCGAGAAUCAAUUAUAUUGUGGGUUAGUGAUAAAAUUUAAAAGAAGGAGCAUUCUUGAUUUCUUUCAUGUUAAAAGCAUUAAUUACAUGCCCUGCUUUAAAAAAAAUCAUGAUUAAUUUGCUAUACCAUAUUUGUUUUAACAAAAAAAUAGAGUGAAUCAUGCAUUGCGUGAAUAAAUAUAACUAACAUUUCAAACCUAUGUAUUUCGUAUCAAUACGUUAAAUAAAGAGUAUAGAUUAUAUCUCAUUUAGUUUAUAACUAGAUAUGUUGUCGGUAACAAUUUUUUUAAUAUAAAAAAAAUGAUAGAUUAAAAAAAUCCAACAAUAACAACAAAUAAACUGACAACAAAAAAAACAUAUAUGAGCCUAUUUGGAUUACUACACAACCCAAUGUUAACCUAACUGAAUAAAAAAAGAAAGAAAAAGAGAGUCAAACUUUAAAAAAAAAAUAACAAAUAACAAAAAAUAUUGACUAAAAAAAAAGGAUAAAAAAAUCAAGCAAACCUAUGCUUGAAAUAUCGCAAUUAUUGCAAACAAAAAAAUUAGGACCAAACUUGCAGAUGAAAAAAUCAUAGGGUGUGAAAUUAAAAUUUUUUUGUAAUAUGAUAGAAUAUUUAUAGAUUUAAAAAUGGUGGGGGUUAAAUAUAAAAAAAAUUAUCGAGGGCUAACCCUAUAGAAUCAAACAAAAAAUAAAUUAAAAUAGAGAAUUAUACAAAAAACAAAUAUAAAAAAAAGUUUUAAAAGAGGAUAAAAAAUAAGACAACAUCAAUUUAGAAAAAGAAAAAAAAAGGUAAAUCUCUUAAACCUGAUUUAAUAUCUAAAAGUCGCAUCCUUUGAAAUGUUUUACCCAGAUUCAAUAAAAAAACAUAAUUUUCAACCAAUUUAAUUUUGAAAGAUGAAAUCGGUAGAAAAAUAUUAAUAAAAAAUCUCCAAAAAAAAAACAUUAAAUAUGAAGAAAAAUUUGAUAGAAAAAACCUAAGAAUGAUGCAAUUUAAUGAAAAAAAAAAAAACAUAAUCCAAAAUAAAAUAAAUAUCAAUUAAAAGAAUAAGAACCAAAUUAUAAAGAUUAAGCAAAAAUCAUAGGUGGUGAAAUUGUAAACAUAUAUAAAAACUAAGUAAACCCGAGCAACAUCCUCAAUAUGGUCAAAUCUUAAAAAGCUUGCAGCCUAUGAAACCCUGAAUCCGGAUUCUAUCAAUAAAUUUAUUACAAGCCGAUUUAAAAAUAUAAAUUUUAAAAACUUAUCAAAAAAAAAAAACAAAACAAAAAAAAGCUUGGAGCGAAACUGACUGUCAGCUCAAGUAAACAAAUCAAACAUACGGUUUAGGAUAUGAAAUUAAGAUGACUCUAUAAAUAGAAAAGCUAAAAAAACACUAACAACAAACAUAUUAAAUCAGGCUAAUCCUUCAGAUCUAGUACCUAGGUCAUGAGAUUGAAAUGACCACAUCAAAGGCAUACUUGAUAAAACAAAAAAGCAAGAUUCUUCAUCAAACAAAUAUUGAAUGAUGAAACUGAGAAAAAAAAUAAACCAAAAAAACAUUGUAAAAUAAAAACAAUAGCAAUAAAAAAAAUAGAACUAAAUUUUACAUAAAAAUUAAAUGAAAUUAAAUAUUUAGGAAAAAAUCAAAUCAAAUAUUUAGGGAUGAAAUUGUAAAAAACAAAUUCAUUAAGAAAAUGAUUUAAAAAAUAGCAAUUUAAAAAAUUAAGACCAAAUUUGACAUAAAAAUUAAAUAAAAUUAAAUACCUAGAGGUGGGAUUAGAAAAGGAUAAAUCAAUCAAGAAAAGAUUAAAAACAAAACAAAUAAAAAUUAAAUUAAUGAGUACCAAAUUUGAAAAAAAAAUCAAAAAAUCAAAUGACCACAGAUAAAAUCAAGAAUAAAAUUUAAUUAUAAAUAAUAAAUAUAAAUAAAACAAUUGCAAAUAAGAGAAAAGAGACUGAAUCAGAAGAAGAAAUAAAAUGAAGGGCUAGUAUGCAUUUUUUCCUAGUAUGAAUUUUUUCAUGGCCAGCACACAAUCUAAAAAAGAAAGAAAGAGAAGGAAAAUAAAAAAAAUAAAUAAAAGUAAUUUCAAGCUAAAUCACAUUGAACCACUAUAUAUGUGUCAUCCAGAGAGGAAAAGGACGCUGGAAUGAAUUAAAUGAUGUGGCAGAAUCAUGGUUACAACUAUAUGAGCCAACCGCACGCGCCGCCAAAAGGUGGUGGAGCAGCUAACUUGUGCGAGACAUGUGUCAAUUGCUGUUUUGUUUUAUAUUUUUUUUGUGAAAAAAAAUGAAAAUGUCUUUUGUACUAAAUAAUAUUAACAAACAAAUUAUGGUGAAACUACAACUAAGCCCCUGUAGCUAAAGUUAAAAAACUCAAAUUGUAAGGACAAUGUAGUAAUUUAAUUGUGCUUUUUAAAUGUGAAAAUACAAAAACGCUCUUAUGCAAAAAGCAUUGAAUAAUUUUAUUCAAGAGUUACAUUAAUAAAUUUUCUAUGAAUUUAAAAAUGCAAUUACUGAAAUAACCCUAUAUAAUCGUUAAAAGAUAUUUAUGUUAUGGUAAAAGGAUUGCCUUACCCUCGAAGUAAAGACAAGAUAAAAUGACCACGAAACAAAAUAAUAAUUAUACUAUUGUAAUAAAUAAUAAUUUAUAUCUCGGGACAUAAUAAUGUCAGUAAGGGGUUUAAUGUUUUGGAUAAUUCUAUAAAUAUUCAAGUAUACAUGUUAUGCUUGUAAAAAACAAUAGAGAUAGCGGGGCCAAAUGAUAUAUGUCUCCUUAUACUCUUUUGUUUUAAAAAUAUAUAAAUUCAUUCUAGAAUUAUUCUAAAAUUGAUUUAUUUUAUAUCUUCUUUUUAUCCUCCAAUGAAACAAGUUUUAAUCUCUUCUAAAAAACUAUAUAAAAAAUACUAACCAAACAUUACCUUGUUUCCUUGUGUAAAUAUUAAUAAAAAAAUGUUAAAUAAAUGAUAAAUGGUAUAAUAUUUGUUUUUCUUUGAGAUCAAGUUGUUCAAAGAAAAUAGAAAAGUGUGGGUUGAAUCCCAGGACCUCUUGGAAAGUCCAUUGUAUUUUUUUAUAUUAUUUAUAAUCUAAUUUCUAUGAAAUUCUAGAAAAUUUUAUAGCACCAUAAAUAAUAUACAUUUAAUUGGAUUUGGAUAAUAUAGCCUCUUUUAUUGAAAUUAAAUCUCUCCUUAUAUUAUUUCUUUUCAUAAAAGUAUUAUUAUUAUUAUUGCUAUUAUUAUUGUUAUUUUAUCAUAGGACUUUGAAAAAAACUUCAUUACACGUAGAAGUAGAAAGUAGAAAGAAGGUUUAAAGGAUAUUUGAAAGGGUGAUAGUGAUUACUUUUCAAAGUAAUUUUUAUUUUAAAAAAUAUUAAAAUAAUAUUUUUUUUUAUUUUUUAAAAAUUAUUUUUGACAUCAACAUAUGAAAAUAAUUUUAAAAAAUAAAAAAUAUAUUAAUUUGAAGCAAAAAAAAUUUAAAUUUUUUUAAAAACACUUUCGAAACACAAUGCUAAACAUGGUCUUAGCUUUGCCCUGUUUGUUUUUACGUUUCAAAAGUAUUUUUAAUUUUUUUUUAAUUUUUUUACUUUAAAUUAAUAUUUUUUUAAUAUUUUUAAAUCAUUUUAAUACAUUAAUAUCAAAAAUAAUUUUAAUAUAUUUUUUUAUAUAAAAUAUUUUAAUAAACAAUACCAAUUACACUCUUAAACAAACUAAUAAUGCUUUACCCCAAAAUCUAGCGUGUCCUUUCCCACCCCAACCCUAACCACCCAUUACAGCCCAAACCCUCACCACCACCACCACAUAAAUUUACAAAACCCCAACACGCCACCCAAAAAGAGCACCAAGCAAAGGAUAUUAUUGUACUUUAAACACAAAUACAAAAUCAAUGAGGGGUUUGUCAGAGACAGUUUUUGCAAGAACCAGUGCAGCUUUAAGCUGUUUGUUAUUGUUUACUGGGCUCUGGAAACCUUACCUGAAUCGCGAAGCAUCAAAGAAAGCCCUUGAACAUAAGAAGGAAAUCGAUAAGCGUUUGGGUCGUCCCUUUAUCCAAACAAACCCUUAUGAGUGGUGUGAGUGUGUCAAAGUUUCUGUUUUUGUUGAAAAGUUUGGAUUUGUUUUUUGCAUUUUUUGAUUUGGGUUUUUUUUAGGGGGGGCUUGGAGGAUCUUGUGAAUCUUGGUUAUAGGGGUCAUUAAUGGAAUAUACGGUUUGUUUUGGUUUAUUGUUUUUUGGAGGAUUUUGUGAAUUUUGGUUAUAUGGUCAGUUAAUGGAACGAAGAAUUUUGUGAAUUUGGAUUAUAAGGUUAGUUAAUGGCAUAUAGGUUUUGUUUUUAUUAUGUGUUAUUGUUAUAUGCUUAAAUUGUCAUUUACCUACAAAAGUUGGAAUUUUGUGUAUGAUAGUGGGGUUGAAGUUGAUAUUGCAAUGAGGGAUGUGGGUGGUUUAUUGUAGGGAAUAGGGAUUGGGGGAGGGGGGGUUAAGUGCUUUAGUGUAGAAAGGUGCUUUAAUUAGUGUUUAGGAUAUGGGGAGUGAUUGCUUGUGCCGAAUGAGAUGAGAUUAAGUUUCCAGUUUUGCUGGGAUGAAUGGAGUUGCUUUGUGGUAGUUGAAACUAAGUUCAUUUCAGAUUGAGUUAUUUGUUGAACUUUUGAACUGGUGGGUUGGAGUUUAGGCCUCUAGGUUGUUGAAAAGUUCAAAUUCUUGUGUGACAAUAGAGAUGGGGGCUAUGAGAUUAAGAUUGCGAUGAGGGAUCCUGGUGGUUUAGUGGGUUAUUGUAGGGAAUAGGGAUUGGGGGGGAUUUGAGUGUUUUAGUGAAGAUAGGUAAUUUAAUCAAUUUUUGGAACGUGGGGAGUGACUCCUUAUGCUGAAUAGGGUGUGUUUAAGUUUCCAGUUCUGUUGGGAUGAAUGAAGUUGUUUUGUGCUGGUAGAAACUAAGUUCAUUUCUGAUUGAGUUGUAUAUUAAGCUUUUGUACUGGAGCAUUGGAGUUUAGGCCUUUAGGUCGAUGUUAUAGCAUGCUUGAAUUGUCAUUUAUUUGCAAGAAGUUUGAAUUUUGUGUGAUAAUGGGAUGAGGACCAUGAGGUUAAGACUGCAAUGAGGGAUGUGUGUGGUUUGGUGGGUUAUUGUAGGGUAUCAGGGUGUUUUGGUGAAGAUAGGUGCUUCAAUCAGUUUUGAAGAUGUUGGGGAGUGAUUGCUCGUGCUGAAUGAGAUAUGAUUAAAUUUCAAGUUUUGUUGGAUGGAUGGAGUUAUUUUGGGUUGGUGGAAACUGGAGACCAAGUUUGUUUCUGAUAUAUUGGAACUUUUGCACUGCUGCGUUGACCUCUGGGUUGGUGCUAUAGUACUGUUGUUACAACCAUAGACAAUUAUAAUAUUUCAUGGUGUCUUCAAACGUGCCAUUUUUUUCCAUGCAGUCUAUACUUUGUUGGCUGCUACUAUGCAACAAAUAAUCAGAGUUUCUAAUGUCAACUGAAUACCUGAAAAUAGCCAUCAUAUGGAGUAGAUUUGAGUCUCUGCUAUAUCAUAAACUAAUGGCACAUGAUUAUUAGUUGCAUUUAUGUGAGUCCACCUUUUUUGAAAAUGAUACUACGUGAACACUGAUGGCUGCUAUGUUCAGUAAUAGCCUCCUGCGUGACUGACUGGGACAAGUUCAUAGUUGGAAGAAAUUAAAUUUGAAGGCUUGGUCUUAACCAAUAUGAUUGCUAUAACUGGAAAACAUAGAUAUUACUUCCUUCUAUGCCUGAUGAAUUUUGGAUCAAAACCCAACUUUUCAAUUAUGAAGCCUUCUGAUUGCAAUUGCUAUGUGGAAGAUUUAAACUGCUUUGUAACGAUCAAGCCUAUCCUCUCAACACUAUCCAAUAUGGCCAUGUUCUCAUAUUGAAAAUGUAAUUGAUUGGGAUAGAGGCUUUAUAAUUUAUGGUCGGUUUAAUGGUUUAUCAAUAUGCUGCAAUUGUGUAUUUUUAUUUUUGAAUCAAUUGGAGGAUUGGAAUCUAACAAGCAAGCUUUGUAUGAACUGGUGAUUCUUCCUCUGCGGAAACCUGAGCUCUUCUCACAUGGGAAACUUCUUGGUCCACAAAAGGGGGUAUUGUUAUAUGGACCUCCAGGCACCGGGAAGACCAUGCUUGCAAAAGCUAUUGUCAGAGAGUCUGGAGCUGUUUUUUUAAAUGUGAGGAUCUCUAAUCUGAAGAGCAAGUGGUUUGGCGAUGCACAAAAGCUCUGUGAGUAUAGAUUGCAUUUGAAUUGCCUCUCUUGUGCUGGAGCUUUUUCUUGCAUUUAGCAAAACAAUGAUGAUUUAAAAUUAUUGCCUUUUUAUUCUAAAACUUGCUGUCACCCACUGAUUAUGUUGAGUGAAAUUUAGUUUCACUCUGAUAAUGGAAACAAGGUAGUACUUUGUGAACAUUCAUAACUAAAAUUGAACAUUCCUAACUUGUCCUUGUUGAAGAUCUUUAUUAGCAGCAAGAUUUUGUUGGAUGCUCUAUUAACUUUUAAAAACAGGGCACUGUAGCUUGUUUAUCUAAUGGAUCUUACUCCGAUAAAUGAGGUUGUGAAAUGAUCAAAAUAUUGGUAUUUUUGUUGCUGUGUGGUAUUUCUAUAUAUCUUGUAUCAGGGAUAUAACAAGAGUAAUGAUUGGUUUAUAUUCUUGUAAUUGUGAAAGUGGUCAUUACUGUAUGUUGCAACUACAUCUUUGUGUUGAAACCAUCCCUUUUUACAUUCUUUUCUGCAUCUGAAUCCAUGCAAGUCUUGUUGGUUCUGUGCUGACUAGAAACAGAUUUAGAAGUAAUUAACUAAGUUUGAGUAGCUUUUUUGCUCCUAUCGAAGUUUUCAUAAUUUGAUUGCUGUUGAUUCUCUUCUAUGUUGCUGCUGCUGUUUUUAGCCUGGCUUAUAAACUUCAGCUUACUUUUAUAUUUAUUGAUGAGGUUGACAGUUUUCUGGGCAGUGUCGUACUACAGAUCAUGAGGCAUUAACCAAUAUGAAAACUGAGUUCAUUGCAUUAUGGGAUGAGUUUACUACAGAUCGUGAGUUCUUACUCUUGAAACAAGUGUUGCAUUUGUGCAGUGACUUGCUAGAAUGUCUUUUCAGGUCGAUUUCAGUGCAUGAAUCAAAAGCUUUUCUUUUGCUUUAGAUAUAAACUUGCCAAUCACCAAUGUUGACUGAUUUUGUUGAUGAUUUUAGCUCUUUGUAAGAGUUGUGGAACAUUGUUUGUAAAUGUUGAGAUGGGUUUAUUACUCUUUUUAAUAGUCAUUUAUGACUUACAAGUUAUCAGAAUUACUUUAUUUUGCUUGCAAAUAUUGCUGCUGUUAUGAGAACUGAAUCUGUUAGUCUAGUGUUGUUCUUUUAAGUUUAUAAGAAUUGUUUUAAUUUGCUUGCACAUUCGUAGGUUUGUAGAGCAUUUUGUUCAUAACACUUUAAGUCUCAAAAUACUCCUGGAAAGGGAGAUUGAUUUAAGUGAAUCAAGAAUAAGGAAAUGAUCAAGAAUAAGGAAAUGUUCAUAACUCAAUAAAACAUACAUGAUUUUAUAGUUAACACAAACUAUUGCUUGCUUGACCUAUUACAUACAUGGAAUAUUUUUCGUAGAAGUAACACUCAAUUAACCUUGAAUAAAAAAAAAGUGAAGGGAAUCCAAUACCAUGAAUCUGCCACUCUAGUGUUGUUUCAUUGUCAAAUCCACUUGAUAUGUUGUUUGCACUGCAAAAUUAGAAAGGUAAGACUGGUCAAAUAAAUUGUAGAGAAAAGAUAGCCUACAUAAACUAUGAACAUAAAACUUGAAAACUUACUUGAAAAUAUCAAUUGAAUUAUUUAGUUUCUUCUAGCACCAUGUUUGCAACAUUCUUCUUUGUUUUUUUGCUCUUGAGAUUCCAUUUAUCUUCAACCAUCCUAAAAAACCAUGAAGGUUUUUUUGUUCUAAACACAACGUAUCCCGUUGCAACUCCAAACACAAACCCACAUCCAUACCCCAUUGUCACAACUUUCCAUCCAAAUCCUUCUCCAAACAAUGUUGAAUCAUCUCCUUCAUCAAAGCUUGAUGGUGGCAAUGACGGUGCCUCAUCACCGUAGCAUUCUUUUAGUACUUGAAAUCCACAUAAACCUAAGUUUCCUUCAAAUGAGCUUGCAUUAAAGGUGUUGAAUUGCUCUCCACUUGGUAUGGGCCCCUCGAGUUGGUUAUGUGAAAGGUUUAGGAUUGCAAGAAAUGUUAGACCCCUCAGUUGCAUUGGAAUCCUUCCGGUAAGCAAAUUUGAAGUUAGGUCUAAUGAUUCCAAAUUGGUCAAAUUUUCUAAUGAUGAUUGGAUAUGACCUGUAAGGGAAUUAUGAGAGAGGUUGAGUUGUUGGAGUGCUUUUAGCUUUCCAAUCACCUUUGAAAUCUCUCCGGUGAAAUUAUUUUUUGAAAAAUCAAGUACUCUGAUGGUACUUUGUAUCUUUGAAAACUCAAUUUCUACACUUUUCCAUGUCAUUUCUAUGGAAUACUCAUAACUGUAAUUUGUUGCCCUCAUGUAAAUCAUGUUUUGAUCCGAGACCAUCAUUGCUUCAAGCGUGAUGAAAUACCCAGCUGGCAAUGGCCCACUAAAAUUAUUGCCAGAAAUGUCAAAAAUUUGUAAUUUAGAGAAGGAAUUAUAUGCAGUCGGACCCUUCACAAAACCUUGGAGUUUAUUGGAUUUUAGGACAAGAAUUUGAAGCUUUGGAAGCGUUUGUAGAAAGGAGGGAAAUGUAUCCUCAAUCUUAUUGUUACCAAGAUCAAGAACUUUCAACAUUGUGCAAUUGAUGAUAGACGGUGGUAUUUUCCCUUCUAAUUCGUUUCCAUUGAGGUUGAGAUAUUCCAAGCUAUUAUCUUUUGAAAAUGUUGAAGGGAUAGUGCCUUGAAGAUUGUUCAUGCCUAGAUGCAAUACCGAGAGCAUGUCGGUGAAGUUCCCCAAACAUAAUGGUGUAGAACCACUCAAGCUAUUGUUGGACAAGUCUAGGACCACAAGGGAUCUCAGCUUGCAAAUAGAAGAAGAAAUCUCACCUGUCAAUUUACUAUUGGAUGCAAGAAUAAGGAGUUCCAAGCUCUCUAGUUUGAAAAUUGAACUUGGAAUUGUACCAUGCAAGUGGUUAUUGCUCAAAUCAAGGUAAUUUAAUGAAAAUUCAUUUUGGAAUUCACUUAUAUUGCCUAUGAGAUUAUUGCUAUGAAGGUCAAGUAAUGUUAAAGAAGGAAGAGCAAACAAAAAGGAUGGUAUUGUUCCAUUGAACAAGUUACCAUAUAAACUUAGACUCUCUAGAUUUGAAAGGGUAUUUAAUUGAGAAUGGAUAGGGCCUACUAGUUGAUUAUUUGAUAAAUCUAAAUCUAAAAGAUUAACUAGGCUACCUAAAGAAUCUGGAACUUGACCCAUAAAUUUAUUGGAAAAGAGAUACAAGUAACGGAGAUGUACAAGGUUUCCAAGUAAUGGGAUCUCACCACUAAAAUUGUUACUUGAGAGGUCUAAAGAGGUGAUCUGUGUGAGAUUACCAAGCAAGGAUAGAUCUGACCUUAUAAUAUUACUGUUACUAAGAGACAUAACUUCUAAUGACUUUAGAUUACUAAUUAAGUCGUUUUCUAAAUAAACAGAAAUUCUUGUAUUAGAAAGACCUAACCGAGAGAGGACAUUACUCAAAUUGGACGAAGGAAAAGAGCCAGUGAGGCCUUUGUUGGAUGACAGAUCCAGUGAUUCAAGGUGUGGGAGGAGAAAGAUGUAACCCGGGAAUUUCCCCUGAAAUCCACAGUUUUUGAGGGAGAGAGAUGAAAAAGAAGAGGACAGAUUCGUCAAGGAAUUGGGUGCAACGAAAGACAUAUUUACAGAACUCAAAUCGAGUUUUCUUAGCUUGGUUAGGUUUUGAACAAGCUUGUCAAAUGAAAUUGGUUCUAGAAUCAAAUGGUUGUUCCAAAAGAGAUCAAGUGAAACCAACUCAGUGAGUUGAUGAAAAUCAUAUGGAAUUGGACCAGUAAGAUUGUUCCCUCCAAGAUCCAAGUACUGCAGGUGCUUAAAUUUCCCCAUUGAGGAUGGGAGUUUUCCUUGCAAUCCACACCAAAAGAGUUUGAGCGAUGAUAGAGAAGAGGACAGAUUCAUCAAGGAACUGGGUGCAACCAGUGACAUGUCUACCGAACUCAGAUCGAGUUCUCUAAGCUUGGUUAGGUUUCGAACAAGCUUGUCAAAAGAAAGCUUGUCAAAAGAAAUUGGUUCUAGACUUGGGUAGUAGUUCCAAGAGAGAUCAAGUGAAACCAUUUUGGAGAGGUGAGAGAUUUCUGACGGAACUUGGCCUGCAAGAUCUAAACCACUUAGGUUAAGAUGUGUUAGAUUGGAGAACUGGCCAAAUCGAGAAGAAAUAUAAGAGGUGUUGAAAUCAUUGAAAGAGAGGUCGAGCUUUUGAAGAUGAUGGAGAGAGAAGAGAGAAUUAUUGGGAAGGAGGGUGCCGUAAAGCAUGCUGCAAGAGAGGUCCAGUGCAGUGACUUGCCCGGUUUUCAGGUCACAAGAGACCCCAACCCACAAGCAGCAGUCUGUACCCUCUUUCCAUGACUCUGUUUUUGGAAAGGGAUGUGGACAAUAGUACAAUAAAGCUGAACUAUUUUGAAUGGAGAAGGAUUGUUUGAAUUGAAGGAGAGAAAGAGAUUGGUGAUGAGCACACAAAAGAGAAGAAGAAGAAGAGUAAUUUGAGGAGAGUGGAGAUGAAAUUGUUGAGUGGAAAUGGAAGAGAAACAGAAUGAAGGAGAGAGAUUGAGAGAGGGACAGUGGUGAAAACCCCAUGGUGGCUGGCCUUACAGGAUUCAAAGUAUAAUUAACUGGGAAUUUAAGAUGAGAAGUAAAGAAAGGCAUUAUUAGUAGUAUUUAUAGACGAAAUCAAAGUCACUGGUUGAAGCAUUAAACAAGUUUCCUUAGCUGAAAGAGAAUCGGAGCAAAGAAAGACUAAUUUGUUCAUGAGCACAUAAUUGUUGGUAUUAAAAUACCUUUUUCAGGAUUUAAUAAUUAAAAAAAUAAAGUAAGAAUAAAAAUCGAUGGAAAUAUGCAAUAUGCAAGGUUCCUAUCAACUUGAUUCCCUGUUGACUUCAAACUGAAUUGUUGUUUCUUGGCACCAAUGACUUCGCACUAAUAUAAAAAAUAAUGUAAACUAUGGAAUUAAAAUGAUAAUCAAAGUCCCUUAAUUCACUAAUACAAGUGUUCAUAAAUUGAGGUGCUGGACAUUCAUGUUAAUUAAAAAAAAUAAAAUUGUUAAUUAUGAAAUAUUUAUAAAAUAAAAUAAAAAAAAGAUUUAUGCGAAGAUUGCUAUGCUCACUAAAAUAUAAUUUCCAAGAAAUUCAAGCCAAAAAAUCGGAAGAAAACUUAAUAAUUUACAAUUUAGUCUACAUUUCUAGUUGCACAUCAGCUUUAAAGGCUAUUAUAAGAAACUACGUAGGUUAGUCAAAUAAAUAAAUAAAAUAAAAAUGGCUAAAAUAUUGAUUUAUUAAUGAGAAUGCCAAACAGAUAUUUUAUUAAUGAGAAUAAGAAUAGGAACAUGACAAUAUUGAUUUUCUAAAGGGAUUAAAUAUCUUUUCAGGGGUUGUUAAUUUUAUUAAAAUUAAUUAAUCCUUUUACUAUUAAAAAUCUUGUGGGGGGAUAGAAAGUUGUUGGAAGAAAACGGAUAAUUAUUUUCAGCUGAAAUCAGUCCUCAUGCAUGUAUAUGGUGAAUUUUGCCUAGAAUUGUUUUGCAUGCGAUUGUUCAUUCUUAAAUGCAAAACUAAGAGUCUUUCGCUGAAGUUUCCUAAAUAUGCUUAUUUUACAAGUUUCCUACAUGUAUAUUGUGUAGAACCGCUCAAACUAUUAUUUUACAAGUUUCCUAAAUAUUUAGUGAACAGAGCAGCGGACAGGAAAACAGAGCACAAAAAUGUUAAUUUUGGAAAUUAAUUAAUAUUGCCGUGUUUCCAACACUCAGUGCUCCUGUUUAAUCACCAAUCCUUGCAAGGAAAUAUUCGCAAUUGAAUAAGACUUUUCUGGACCAUUACCUAUUGCUUUCUGACCUUGAUAUAAAAUUGAAUAAGACUUGAAGGAAAACAGAGCACAACGAUGAACCAAGGAAUGGAGUUUGAAGGUUCUUGCCCUCAAGAUGCUGUGGGAUUGGUCGUCCUCAAAGGUCUUUCUCUUUCAGCAUCAACAAGGGAGAACCGAUCUUCAUUUGUUCUGUCCUUAACCCCCAAGUCUUCGGAACUUGGAUGCAUAGAUAUUGUCCACUCAUUCUUAAAUGCAAUACUAAGAGUCUUUCGCUGAAGUUUCCUAAAUAUGCAAUAUUUAGUGAAUGUUUAUGAAUAACAUUAUACUGAACCAGUACAGGAAAACAGAGCACAACGAUGAACCAAGGAAUGUUUAUGAAUAAUAUUUAGUCGUCCUCAAAGGUUGCUAUGCUCACUAAAAUAUAAUUUCCAAGAAAUUCAAGCCACAAAAUCGGAAGAAAACUUGUUAAUAAUUUACGAUCGUAGUUUACUCACAGCUUAAGCAAGUGGGCAUGCAGAGUUAAAGAGUCAUCCUCACCUUCUUAUGUCCGCUUCAAUCCAAUCUCCAGUCUCCAGUCUACACGUUCUGGCAAUAGCUUUAUUGAACAGAAUCUAGAAAACUGACAAACAAUGGAAAAUUAAUGGAGUUUGAAGGGAGAACCAAUCUUCAUUUGGUCUGUCCUUGAUCUCCAAGUCUUCGGAACUUGGAUGUAUAGAUAUUGUUCACUCUUCAUGUGGUGCUGAAUAUAUAUGGAAUUGAAGGUUCCCUUGCAAAUAUUUCCAUACAAGAGUGAGCGUUGGAUACACGGCAGUACUAAUUUCCAAAAUUGACAUUUUGGCAGCAAGUCCUUUUAGAACUUUCUUUGCAGCUCGUCUGAUGGCAGCUGUUCUUGGGGACAUCGAUCUACCCCUUCGCAUGCACUGAUAGAUUAUUAUUGCUAUUAUUAACAAGAACAGGUGACUGUGUACUUGAAGGGUUAAGCAAUUUAUGUGUUUCCCAGAAGAAGAAGAAGCAUUCAUAGCUUAGAAAAUAGCAAUGAAUAUAUAUGUGCUAAUAGAUACAGUUUGUGCUCUUCCUUUGCAGCUCGUCAUAUGGAUCAUACUUUUUGUGUGCCAACAAAAGACAACAAAGCAACCCUUGGUACAGAUUUUUGCUGGAUAAAUCCACCUUCGUUUUGUUUUUUGUGUUAAUACGAAGAAAAAUCUGAAGGAGUGCAGUGCAUAGCUGUUGUAGUGUACUAACCGAUCUUGCAGUAAAAUUGGGACUCUCGUGAAGUGUCAAUUUUAUAUUAAGGUCAGAAAGCAAUAGGUAAUGGUCCAGAAAAGUCUUCGGACCUUAGAUAUAUAGAUUGAAUUAUUCAAUUGCGAAUAUUUCCUCGCAAGGAUUGGUGACUAAACAGGAGCACUGAGUGUUGGAAACACGGCAAUAUUAAUUAAUUUCCAAAAUUAAUAUUUUUGUUGAGAUCAAGUUUAUAUGAGCAGCAAGUUUAUGUGCUAAUUAGAACUUUCUUUGUACUUAGACUAGCGAUAACUGUGUUCUUGACAUCAAUGUAUUAAAACAAUGUAAAAAUAUGUUAGCAAUACAAGAAUGUUGAUUUUUUUGUAAAAAAUAAAUCUUAAAAAAUAAAUAAAUAACAUAAAAAUAUUAUUUUAAUAUAUUUUCAAAUAAAAAAACACUUUAAAAAGUAAUUUCCACCGUACUAACAUACUUUAAGAAUAAAAACACAACAAUAUUGAUUUUCUAAAAGGAUUAAAUAGUGUUUUAGGGGUUGCUAUUUUUUCUUUAAUUAACUACUACUUUUAGUAUUAAAAGUAAUUAAAUAGUUAUUUGACCAAUUUUAAUCAUGCUUAUUUCAGUAAUAUUUUUUUAAAAUACUUUUCUUUCUUAUCAAUCUUUCAAUUUAUAUGCUUUGAUUUUUUUCUUUUUUCUUUUUCCUUUUUCUAUUUUAAAUAAAAAAAAUAAUUUAACUAUUAGAUUAUGUAAACAAAUAAUUUAAAAAUAUAUAUGCAAUAAAUGAUGAAAAUUAUAAACCCUUUACUUUGAUAGUUCAAGGAAUAUUUAUAACCUUUGAACUUUGUUAUUUUGUUGAAGUGGAGAGCCUGAAAAGUUAUUUCUUUUUUAUAGUAAUAAUAAAAAAUAAAUAUUUCUUACACAAUAUUAAACGAGAAAUAAAUAUUUAUUGCAUAAUAUUAAUAAAAAAUAAAUAUCCAUUAUAAAAUAUUAAUGGUGACACUUAUCUAUUAUUUUACAAGUUAGACUUGAAGGAAUUUCAGAGCAGCGUACCGGAAAUUAAAGAAAAUAUUUAGUGAAAGUUUAGGAAUAACAUUACUGAACCAUUACCGGAAAACAGAGCCCUCAAGAUUGGAGUUUCAAGGUUCUUGCGUACUAAAAGAUUUUUGUUUUCCACCAUCAACAAGGGAAAACCAAUCUUCAUCUGCUCUGUCCUUUUCCUCCUUGACGUCCAAGUCUUCGCAACCAUACAAUUAUUCAAUAUGGAACUGCAGGUUGAAUUAUUCAAUUGCAAAUAUUUCCAUACAAUUAGGUCCCUUUGUUGACUAUGCAAGAAUGUUGGAAACACGGCAAUUUUAAUUUCCAAAAUUGACAUCUUUCCAGCAAGUCUACGUGCGUGCACUUUGUGCUCUAAUUAUAACUCCCUUUUGUGUCUCGUCUGAUGACAACUGUUCUUGGAGACUUCUACCCCUCUAUGCCUGGUUUUUCUUGGUAUCAUUGCAUCUUUGAAGUUUGGUUUUCCUUACAAUUUACUUUAUCUUUCAUUAGAUUUCUCUACAUUGUAAGAAAUAUUUUUUAAGUGGAUCAUAUGCCAUGUCAUGUUUUCAAAAUAAUAUUAAUUGUGUAUAUAUUAUAAAAUUUAUAAAUGAUAAUUAAAUGCUUGGAGUCCAUUGCUCUCUAAUGAUGAACCAAUUAAGUACAAUACAUAAUGGAUGAAAGUGAAAAAAAUCAGAUUAAUGAAAGGAUCCCUAUGCAAGCCAUAUUAAAUAUUACGUAAUGUCAUGUAACCUCCAUCAAAAUAUAGAAAAUUUAAAGUUUGGUAUUGACGGUUCAAUCAUAGUAUGGGCUAAAUCCACUCAUUUGACAUGUGUUGAGCAUAAUACAAAUAAUAAAAAAUAAUUAAGUCAUAAAUACAAUUAAAAUUAUAGAGAUUAAAUGUAUGGUUUGCAAAACUACGUACUAGGAUUAAGUUAUAAUUAACUCAAAUAAAAAAGAAAUUUAUGCAAAGGCUCGGGUUCCCUAGGUUUCAAGGACGAAGAAGUGCUUUUUAGGACCCGUUGAUAGAAAACUGUAUAAAAGUGAUUACAAUUACAGAGAGAAAAAAAAGAGUAAGAUUUUAGAAGAAUUAGUGAAUUAAAAGAGAAGGAGGAGGAGUGAGAAAUGGUGGAUUGGUAAUUUAGAAGAAUUAAAUGCCAAUAACAGUUUAAUCCUCGGAACUAGGAGACGAUAAUGCAUUAAUCGAGAUUAAGUUGUCUUUUUCCAUCAAAUAGCUAGUCCGCUUGGCAAGAACACAAGUAUUAAAAAGAUUAGCAAAACUUGUUCAAAAUAUAAACAACACACGAGCACAAGUUUGAACUAUGGUAUUCUCUUGUCGGGUAAAGGGAGUGGUUACAAUUCCAGCCUUUGAGAGGAGCUUAGUCCAUGUUCUGAGGAACAUAAAUGCAAGAAGACCAGUGGUGAGAUUCAGCUUCAUGACUAUAACACUGUAUAUGAUCCCAAUUGCUAUGCUAGCAACAAUUCCCCUAACUGUAAUCUGUUUAGUCCAUGGAGCAAUCCUCUUGAUAUCCAUGUUCAUAUUCAUCACAAUCUUCUCACCAAUACAAUCAACAAACCAAACUCAUCAUCUUGAAUCCAAUAGAAUGAUUUAUAGAAGCUAAACCACACAUCAAGAAAAUCUGAUAAAACUACAAAAAAUAAAAGAUUGAAUAAAAACAAAACGUCAUGAAUUAUAUUACCUUAUAAGCCUCCUCCUUUUUCUUGCUCCUCUUCUUCUUUCGACCACAGCUUCAAAAAGCACCCGAAGAAUCCAACUUCCUCAGUCAACUACUAACAAGUCUCCAUCAAUCAAUACAAGUAGAUGCAAGAGCAUAUAGCUUCCUUCAGAAAGACAACAAAACAUUCAAAUCAACACAUGGGCAAGGGCCAGCCUCUAAGUUGACUUAAGGAAACUCUCCAAGAAAAACAGACGACAGCAGACGAACUUGAUUCGAGGCCUUCAAGAAAAGCCCAAAAACCAUAAAUAUUGCUUCUUCCAAAGCAAUAAUCAAGAGCAUUAAAUGUCAGGCCAAGAGAACAAAAACCCAAGCUUCUUAUAUGGCAAAAAAACACAGCAAUUGUUUUUCUUAUUUAUACUAAAUUCAAGCAC